UGCGCGGAAGAUGUAACGGGGCUAAACCAUGCACCGAAGCUGCGGCAGCGACACUAUGUGUUGUUGGGUAGGGGAGCGUUCUGUAAGCCUGCGAAGGUGACCUGUGAGGGUUGCUGGAGGUAUCAGAAGUGCGAAUGCUGACAUAAGUAACGAUAAAGCGGGUGAAAAGCCCGCUCGCCGGAAGACCAAGGGUUCCUGUCCAACGUUAAUCGGGGCAGGGUGAGUCGACCCCUAAGGCGAGGCCGAAAGGCGUAGUCGAUGGGAAACAGGUUAAUAUUCCUGUACUUGGUGUUACUGCGAAGGGGGGACGGAGAAGGCUAUGUUAGCCGGGCGACGGUUGUCCCGGUUUAAGCAUGUAGGCUGGUUAUCCAGGCAAAUCCGGAUAAUCAAGGCUGAGGUGUGAUGACGAGGCACUACGGUGCUGAAGUAACAAAUGCCCUGCUUCCAGGAAAAGCCUCUAAGCAUCAGGUAACAUCAAAUCGUACCCCAAACCGACACAGGUGGUCAGGUAGAGAAUACCAAGGCGCUUGAGAGAACUCGGGUGAAGGAACUAGGCAAAAUGGUGCCGUAACUUCGGGAGAAGGCACGCUGGUGUGUAGGUGAAGUCCCUGCGGAUGGAGCUGAGACCAGUCGAAGAUACCAGCUGGCUGCAACUGUUUAUUAAAAACACAGCACUGUGCAAACACGAAAGUGGACGUAUACGGUGUGACGCCU
RNAcentral lists this ribosomal RNA (714 nucleotides) under Klebsiella pneumoniae. RNAcentral's name for it is "bacterial LSU rRNA". It matches the Rfam family "Bacterial large subunit ribosomal RNA", at positions 1160 to 1860 of the family's 2925-position model. The record is from RNAcentral. Lineage: Bacteria; Pseudomonadati; Pseudomonadota; Gammaproteobacteria; Enterobacterales; Enterobacteriaceae.